CACCUUUGACAUCCCGUGCUAUCUAGAGAGAUCUAGAGUCCCUUCGGGGCGCGGAGACAGGUGCUGCAUGGCUGUCGUCAGCUCGUGUCGUGAGAUGUUGGGUUAAGUCCCGCAACGAGCGCAACCCUCGCUUCUAGUUGCCAGCAUUUAGUUGGGCACUCUAGAGGAACUGCCUGCGCUAAGCAGGAGGAAGGCGGGGAUGACGUCAAGUCCUCAUGGCCCUUACAGGG
RNAcentral lists this ribosomal RNA (230 nucleotides) under uncultured bacterium. RNAcentral's name for it is "partial 16S ribosomal RNA". It matches the Rfam family "Bacterial small subunit ribosomal RNA", at positions 978 to 1208 of the family's 1533-position model. The record is from RNAcentral.